RNAcentral lists this ribosomal RNA (265 nucleotides) under uncultured Glomeromycotina. RNAcentral's name for it is "partial 18S ribosomal RNA". It matches the Rfam family "Eukaryotic small subunit ribosomal RNA", at positions 619 to 888 of the family's 1831-position model. The record is from RNAcentral. Lineage: Eukaryota; Fungi; Glomeromycota.
UUAAAAAGCUCGUAGUUGAACUUCGGGGUCAGUAGGUCGGUCGUGCCACUGGUAUGAACUGGUUUUACUGAUUCCUCCCUCUUGAAGAACUGUAAUGCCAUUAAUUUGGUGUUGCAGGGAAUCAGGACUGUUACUUUGAAAAAAUUAGAGUGUUUAAAGCAGGCUUUAGCUUGAAUACAUUAGCAUGGAAUAAUGAAAUAGGACGUUUGAUCCUAUUUUGUUGGUUUCUAGGAUUGACGUAAUGAUUAAUAGGGAUAGUUGGGGG